RNAcentral lists this ribosomal RNA (463 nucleotides) under Salmonella enterica subsp. enterica serovar Panama. RNAcentral describes it as "bacterial SSU rRNA". It matches the Rfam family "Bacterial small subunit ribosomal RNA", at positions 82 to 541 of the family's 1533-position model. The record is from RNAcentral. Lineage: Bacteria; Pseudomonadati; Pseudomonadota; Gammaproteobacteria; Enterobacterales; Enterobacteriaceae.
GCUUUGCUGACGAGUGGCGGACGGGUGAGUAAUGUCUGGGAAACUGCCUGAUGGAGGGGGAUAACUACUGGAAACGGUGGCUAAUACCGCAUAACGUCGCAAGACCAAAGAGGGGGACCUUCGGGCCUCUUGCCAUCAGAUGUGCCCAGAUGGGAUUAGCUUGUUGGUGAGGUAACGGCUCACCAAGGCGACGAUCCCUAGCUGGUCUGAGAGGAUGACCAGCCACACUGGAACUGAGACACGGUCCAGACUCCUACGGGAGGCAGCAGUGGGGAAUAUUGCACAAUGGGCGCAAGCCUGAUGCAGCCAUGCCGCGUGUAUGAAGAAGGCCUUCGGGUUGUAAAGUACUUUCAGCGGGGAGGAAGGUGUUGUGGUUAAUAACCGCAGCAAUUGACGUUACCCGCAGAAGAAGCACCGGCUAACUCCGUGCCAGCAGCCGCGGUAAUACGGAGGGUGCAAGCGU